RNAcentral lists this long non-coding RNA (3611 nucleotides) under Manihot esculenta (cassava). Its description in RNAcentral is "long non-coding RNA (MESC_LNC007280)". Lineage: Eukaryota; Viridiplantae; Streptophyta; Magnoliopsida; Malpighiales; Euphorbiaceae. The record is from RNAcentral.
CAAUCCACAAAAUAAUUAAAGUUUCAACCAAUUUUCAACUAGAAUUAUAGGUUUCAGCCACUCAUGGUUGAACCAAAAUAAGAAAAUAAACAAAAGAGAAGAUGGAACCAAAUGGAGAGGAUGGAGAGCCUUUGCGCCGGCUGAAUGGAGAGAAUGUGGAGAAGAGAUGUGUGGCAGCCUUGAAGGGAUCCUUAUAUAGGAUUUUGGUGCUGCCCUAGGUCUUUCUUGCUGCCCAAGUUGAUCUCCUUGCUGCCCAAGUUGAUCUCCUUGCUGCCCAAGGUGCUGCCCAUGCCGCCCAUAUGAAGUGAUGAGGUGUAGUCUCUCUUUGAAUUUUGAAUUUUGAAUGUGCAAGACUUGAGGUGGCAUAUGUGUCUUCUUUGGCUUCCUUGACAAGCUGAAUUUGAAUUUCAAAUUUGAAUGUGCAUCUUCUAAAGAUUUGGCUUCUUCGAUAAGGAAAGGGAUUCUUGAAGAUUUGGAUUUCAAAUUGCUCUGCACUUUUCUUGUUUGCCACUUUCCUUAUUUAGCACUUUCCUUAAUAAGCUGAAUCUUGAAUUUUGAAUGCUCUUGGAGAUUUGAAAUUUGAAUUUCAAAUUUCUUUUCUUAUUUAUCUCCUCUUCAGUUGUAACUUGGCAUACUUGCUCUUCUUUGUUCCAUUUUAGGCAGUUUUAAGGGCAUUUUUUGUAAAUUACCUCUUUACACCAUUUUCUGCAAAAUAUGAUUAAAAUCACAAAAUUAGGCAGAAAAAGCAUAAAUUAACAUCAAUAAUAUCAUGAUAAAAUGGUCUAAAUUUAGACUGAUCAAAUACCCCCACACCUAGCCUUUUGCUUGUCCUUGAGUAAAUAAACUUAGUCAAACAAGCUUUCUUUGCUACUCGAUCCUCUAUUUCCACUCAAGCUCUUACUCGAGAUCCCUAUUUUGAAGUAUUGCAAUGAAGAAUGUAUGCACAAGGUUACUCACCUUCUUUCCUUGGCUCCCUUUACCUACCAUGGCUAGUAUUUAUUUUCCUCAAGAGAGAGAUUACACAUGCACAUAUUAUUUGUUCAAUUAAGACUCUUUCUAGCUUUCAGAGUGAUUUGCCCUUACCUUGAAGUACUUAUUCAGCCUUUUGCACUUUAAUCUUACUUGAAAAAGUCACCAACCUUUUGACGUGAAAGUAUAUAUUAGUGAUACCCACCCCCAGUUACUCAGUUGGUCACCUGUUCAAAUGGCUACUAGCUCUGUUCAUAGUCUUUCAACCAUUGGAAGAGUUUUCAAUUUGUGCUCAUGAAGUCUAAGCCUUUGCCGAAUUUCUUUAAUCAAUGCAUUGGGCAAAUCAACACCAAUUGCUAAAACAAGUCAUAUUAAGUUCAUUUAUACAUCUUUCAAUUCAUUCUCUCUAAUGAGCAAUAUAUAUUUUUCACCAUGGCAAGCUCAAAGAUUCAAUUCAAAAGGAAAUUCCCAAACAUGAAUACAACUCACUGCAAUUGAUUCAACAUAGGUUUAAAGAGUCAUCACAUCAAUGAGGUUAUGGAAAGAAAGCUCAUCCAACAUAGUCUAUGUGUUUGAGUAAAGCAAACCAAAACAGAAAGAAGAAAAAAAACUGUGGCUACAUGUGUGUGCAUUGAACGCAAAAAUAAAAAAAAUCAAACUGUGGCUGUUCAAACUAAGAAUUAAAGCAAAAAUGGACUAAAAAUAAAAGUUCAGAGAUAUGCAUCCCCACACCUAAUUCAUGCAUUUGUCCUCGAUGUAUUGGAAAAAUUAAAGUUCAAAGGAAACUGAAUACUCCCCUGGUGUGGUGUUUGGUGCGAUCCACUAGGCAAGUUGUCUCCACUGGGUUGCCUCCCAGUAGGGCCUUGGUUUAAGGUCAUAGGCUGGACCUUCUCCAUUUGAUCAUGGCUCAAGUAAUUGAGGGAGAAAAAAGGGUCCCAACUGAAUUAAGUAAAAAGUGUAGCUCGCAUUUUGAUUUGGUAAUAACCUAUCAUAUUUCUUUCAUGUACUCAUGAAGUAACAUGAUUAGGUUCUCCUCUUUCAGGUGAGGUGUGUCUCUAGCCCUUAUGUUUGCAUUUUUGAGAUGAUUGGAUAGCACUUUGAACUCCAAUGCAUAUUUCUCCAUAGGUGGCUGCAAUUUGGUACUGAAUUCAGGCAAAAUAAAUUCUACCUUAUCUGGUGGUUUGGGCAGGCAAUGUUCCGCAUGCUCCUUUGGUUUGGGCGCUUGGAAUUCCAUUUGUUCCUUGUGCGCAUGGGCUGUUUGCGUUGGCUGUCUGGCUGAACUGGAUUUGGCCUUCUCCUUUUGUGCAUGGUCACUCUGCGUUUGGUCCAUCUGCUGAAUGCAGUAGACUUUUGCUUUCAGUUUUGGCUCUUUUUGGCUUCCUUCAUCUAUUUGGCUAGCCUCCCUGCAAAAAUAAUUGUUUAGCAUAUCAUUUUGAUUCAUAUAAAAAACUUCUUGGCUCAAACAAUCAAUAAUAUCUAAACCAUCAACAGGUUCUGUUUGACCAGUUUGUUUGGACAAACAGUUUUCUGGUUGUUUUUCUUUAGCAGCUUGUUCUUGUACUUGUGGACUAUUGGGAAAUUCCGAGAUUAUUGCAACCCAAAGGCGCAGCGAAAAAAUAAAAUUUUUCUAAUUUCCUUUUUCCCAGAAUCUGAGUGCUUCAUUUAAUUCACAAGAAGGAUAUGAGACUGACUCGCGGUUGUCGAAGCCGAUAAAAAAUAACCUUUCCGGUUAUCAACAAUUUUACAACUGUAGAUAGUGGUAAAGGAUCGAAUCCACAGAGAAUUGAUUACCAAUCUAUUUUUCUCAACAAGACCAAUAAAAUUAACUGAAACAAUAAUAAAUUAAAAUGAGAUAAAAGACUAAAAGUGAGAUCAAAUUAGAUAAACUGCAAAUUGGGAUCAAAACUGUGAACAAAAUAACAUGGGGGUUUGAGAUUGAUUGUAGUAAACUAAUAAUGAGAAUAAUAAUGGGAAGCAAAUAAUUAAAUAAAAAGUAAUCAAUGAUGAGAAAGUUCUAGUUGAAGUAUUGGAUCCACUUUAGUUGUUGGGAUUGAUCACAUACGCUUUGUUCUUUUGGGUUGAUUCAAUAGAUUAGUUAUGGAGAUGGAAGACGCUUCUCACCACCAUUAUCUCUCCUUAUGAUUAAACCAAUUAGGGAACGUCCUCUAAUUAAUUACUAAUUAACAAAUUGUCAAGGAACGUCCUUGGGCCUUAGGCAUCAAAACAAUUGUCAAUUGCAUUAAGAAAUAGAGAGAUCCAAUCCUAGCUACCCAAACGUAUGGAGAUAACGCUAAAUCAUGCAACUUCCUUGGGUUUUAUCCCAAGUGUUCUCAUGUAAGAAUAAUCCAAGCAAUUACGGACUUAAAUUAUUCAAACUAACAGAUAAUUAUUUUGCAAUAAAAAAUCAACGUAGAUCUCAAUAACAAAAUAAUAUGAAAAUUAAAUAUGAAAUUGCAUGAAUAUUGAAUUCUCAAAAAUUAAACAAUAUUUGAUCAAGUCUCACAACCCAUUAAUCAACUAAAGUUUCAACCAAUAUUCAACUAGAUCAAAAGAAAUCAGCCACUCAUUGGCUGAUUUAAAAACAGAAAAGUAAAAAAUAAAAGGGAAAGGAAGAAAAGAACCGACGACGGAGAAGAGCUGCG